Acanthosepion pharaonis is the source of this 114-nucleotide non-coding RNA. The record is from the annotation of a GenBank genome assembly. NCBI's taxonomy places the organism in Eukaryota, Metazoa, Mollusca, Cephalopoda, Sepiida, Sepiidae.
UUACAGCCAUAUCAUGAUGAAACACUAGUUCUCGUACAAUGACCAAAGUUAAACAAUGUUGAGUUUGGUCAGUACUUAGAUGGGUGACUGCUUUGGAAUACCAGGUACUGUAAG